UUUGUUGCAAGUGGGGGGAGUUAUUACAAACAGAUUGACGUCAUUAAGAAAUGUUUUUGAUGCUUCUCCUUUGGGAAGAUUGAAGAAAUUGGCAUUUGAAGAUUCGGAUAUCAAGGAUGAAGCAGCGAAUUGUUAUUUAAAUGACUUUUUACAUAUGAUGUAUAAGCCAAUUGUUAAAAAUGAGCUAAAGUUGAUAUACGACGCUGUACUU
Molecule: long non-coding RNA, 211 nt
Organism: Xenia sp. Carnegie-2017
Lineage: Eukaryota; Metazoa; Cnidaria; Anthozoa; Malacalcyonacea; Xeniidae
Exons: 3
Source: RefSeq, a predicted model, not a curated record